GAGUAACAAAACACAAACAAACGCUUCUAUAACAAAAACUAAAAUAAAUACAAAUUAAGAGAGCGCAAGAAAUGGAAUUCAUUGAGCACAAACUAAUCAAUAGCGAAGUAAUUUAAUCGGCAAGCAAUAAGCAAGCGCACUAACCUCAAGUAAAAAGCAAAAGUUUUACUACAUUUACAACAAGCAAUAAAUAAAUCAACGACCGCAUACGCGCUGGUGUACUAAACAAAAACUGACCGUACAUGCAAACAUCUGGCCAACUAACGAUAUUGUGUUCGAAAAUAGUUGCAAAUCAAAAAUAGCGCUGUGCGGUCGGAAUUACGUUAGCCCGCAAUUUGCACAAAAUUUGGCCUGAAUAAAUUAAAAAAAAAAAAAAACGAACGACCUUGCCUUUUAACGUCUUAAGUGUUGUGGAAACAUUGAACUCUCAAUAUGGUGGCAAUUACUAAUAACAAUGAAAUUGAGCGAG
Molecule: long non-coding RNA, 469 nt
Organism: Rhagoletis pomonella (apple maggot)
Lineage: Eukaryota; Metazoa; Arthropoda; Insecta; Diptera; Tephritidae
Exons: 3
Source: RefSeq, a predicted model, not a curated record